UUGUCGUUGGUUUUGCAACCAACAGUUGUCAACACUAAAUUUCGUCCGAAUUUUAUUUUCUUUCAUUUUAAUUUUAUUUAAUUUUAUUUUUUAUGUUUAAUUUUAUUUUACUAUUUUGUAUUUGAUUUAGUCUUUGUUCUUUUAAAAAAAAGAAAAAAAAGAAGAAAAGAAAGAAAAGAAAAAGAGAAAAAAAAAGAAGAAAAAAAACAAAAAUCCGAAGGUCAACUAAGUUUCCCC
Molecule: long non-coding RNA, 237 nt
Filed under: Vigna radiata
Lineage: Eukaryota; Viridiplantae; Streptophyta; Magnoliopsida; Fabales; Fabaceae
Description: long non-coding RNA (VRAD_LNC002710)
Source: RNAcentral